UUAAGAAGAACAGAGUGCUCUGGUGUAAUUCCAAAUGGUUUCUUUUCCCUUCCUCCUGCAGGAUGCUGGUGGGAUUUUUAAAAGACAUUUACUGUGGGAAACUCCUGGAGAUAAAGCUCAUAAUAUUGUGGUGGCCCACUUAUGACUGGGGCUCCCUGGAGUCUUUAACUCUGAGAGUUGUCUGCACUGAGCCUCCAGCAAUUCAUCAGCUACAGUUCAAGUUUUCUUACCCCAGCAAUGAUUCCCGUGGAGUUUUCUGCUUUUGAGUCUCUGCUCAGAAGUUCCAAGGAGGACAGACAGCAUGCUGUUUGGAAGGCCACCACACUAUGACCACACUAUGACCAACUGGUCGAAAAACUCUUAUCGAAGAAGAACUUGGUUACCAUGGCUUUGUUGUUGGACCAGUGACAUAAGGAUGGAAUUUUGCUUGUUCUAGAAGGAACUCACAAAGCCUGAACACAAGUGCAGCGUGAAAGCUAGUGGAUGAUGAAUUACCUGAAGGUGGCUUUCAAUCAUUGUGGACAAAUGGACAGCCUUUCUUCUAGAGGCUUAUUUUUAAGAAGCAUUGUUGAAGCUUCCAGAGAUCCUGGUGGAAAUGGAGUCCUUGGUUUCUACAGCGUUAUCAUUUUGGCUUUUCCUCCUUUCCCUUUCCUUACUCUUGUUUUCCAGAGCCAUCUCCCAAAUGAAUCUCAUUUACCCAAGACAUUGCCUCAGGCACUCCUUUCAGGGAAUGUAUAUUAAGAUGGGGGGGGGGGGAUGAGCCACUAGUACCAUUACUAUACCCUUCAAUCAUUCUCCAGUGCUUUAGCAAUAACUCCUAGUAAUUUGAUUAUGUGGAUUGUAGGGUCUUAAAUGAAACUCCCAAGACAUUGAUGGGACUUCUAGAAGCUGGGGAAAUGAAAGUGUAAUUUCAAAGCUGUGAUUUCCUGUCUUUUAAAAAGUGGAGGGGCUUCCCUGGUGGCGCAGUGGUUGAGAGUCCGCCUGCCGAUGCAGGGGACACGGGUUCGUGCCCCGGUCCGGGAAGAUCCCACAUGCCGCGGAGCGGCUGGGCCCAUGAGCCAUGGCCGCUGAGCCUGCGCAUCCGGAGCCCGUGCUCCACGAUGGGAGAGACCACAACAGUGAGAGGUCCCCGUACCGAAAAAAAAAAAAAAAAAAAAAAGUGGAGAUCAUAACCCCUCCAUCCCCCCACCCUUUUUUGAACAUAUUUUUUUUCCUCUCCUUUAUUCUGGUGUUCUGGGAAAGUCUCAAGAAUUAUCCCUUUAAUUCUAGAGGUACACAGAAAACAAACCAAAUGUGGGUUGAAAUCUUUGAGGGAAAUGGUUCUUUUCCAGAUAUAGAUUGUAACUGCACUGCAUGGCAUGCCAACGCUUAUUUGCGUGGACAUGAGUAUUUUUAUAUUUGAAUAGUUACUGAGACCAGAACUGAGAUCCAGGGGCCUACAGACAAGAAGUGAAAACUUGAUCUCUGUUUUUGGUCAGGGAAAUAUCCAGGAAAAGAACUUGGCUAGAUUUGUUGAAGCUCACCCUCAUCCACAGGAUAAGCAUUCUAUAUUCGUUCUAAUCCUGGGAAGCAGCCACUCAGCCACCCCUGACAGAAAUUUUGGACUCAUUCUU
Long non-coding RNA from Lagenorhynchus albirostris (white-beaked dolphin), 1613 nucleotides. RefSeq lists it as uncharacterized. The record is from RefSeq and is a predicted model, not a curated record. NCBI's taxonomy places the organism in Eukaryota, Metazoa, Chordata, Mammalia, Artiodactyla, Delphinidae. The transcript is spliced from 5 exons.